RNAcentral lists this ribosomal RNA (253 nucleotides) under uncultured bacterium. RNAcentral describes it as "partial 16S ribosomal RNA". It matches the Rfam family "Bacterial small subunit ribosomal RNA", at positions 524 to 776 of the family's 1533-position model. The record is from RNAcentral.
UACAGAGGGUGCGAGCGUUGUCCGGAAUCACUGGGCGUAAAGGGCGCGUAGGUGGCGCCCCAAGUCAGUGGUGAAAGCUCGAUGCUCAACAUCGAGUCGGCCACUGAGACUGGGGGGCUCGAGCACUGUAGAGGCAGAUGGAAUUCCCGGUGUAGCGGUGAAAUGCGUAGAGAUCGGGAGGAACACCAGAGGCGAAGGCGGCAACCUGGACAAGCACUGACACUCAACUGCGAAAGCGUGGGGAGCAAACAGG